Molecule: ribosomal RNA, 377 nt
Filed under: uncultured bacterium
Lineage: Bacteria
Description: bacterial SSU rRNA
Rfam family: Bacterial small subunit ribosomal RNA
Source: RNAcentral
AACGUAGGGGGCGAGCGUUAUCCGGAAUUAUUGGGCGUAAAGAGCACGUAGGUGGCGUUAAAAGUUGGGCGUGAAAGCUCUCGGCUUAACUGAGAGAGGUCGUUCAAAACUAUAAUGCUUGAGGUUGAUAGAGGAGAGUAGAAUUCCCGGUGUAGUGGUGGAAUGCGUAGAUAUCGGGAGGAAUACCAGUGGCGAAAGCGGCUCUCUGGAUCACACCUGACACUGAGGUGCGAAAGCGUGGGUAGCAAACAGGAUUAGAUACCCUGGUAGUCCACGCUGUAAACGAUGGAUACUAGGUGUGGGAGGUUAUUUACCCCUUCUGUGCCGGAGCAAACGCGUUAAGUAUCCCGCCUGGGGACUACGGCCGCAAGGCUAAA